Molecule: long non-coding RNA, 4694 nt
Filed under: Lynx pardinus (Iberian lynx)
Lineage: Eukaryota; Metazoa; Chordata; Mammalia; Carnivora; Felidae
Source: RNAcentral
GAAUCAUCUAUAUAAAGAUAAGAACGAGCCUGUACAAAGGCUCAAGUUUGGGAUGUAAGUUGGUGAAUUUAAAGCACACUAAGACCAGUAUGGCUUGAGGUGAGCUAUAAUGGGAGAGGUUGAGCUUGGAGAAAAAGACAGAGGUUAGCUCAUAUGUGCCUCGAUAGCCCCCAAAAGAGUUUGGAAUUUAUUCCAUAUGUGGGGAAGCCACUUUACACUGGUAAGUAGCACAUUCUCGUUUCAUUUUUUUUUUUGUUUUGUUCUGGUUUGGUUUUGAUUGAGAUAUAAUUGACAUUUAACUGGUUUCUAUUUUUAAAAUUCACUCUGGCUGCUGAGUUGAGAAUGCAUGAUGUGUGUGUUGGGGUUGAAAGGAAGAGUAGAAGUAGGGAGAUAUUGAGGACUCCAUUAUAGUGGGUCAGGUAAGAGACAGUGGGGCUGGACAAGGAUAGAGACUAUGGAGGUCAGAGGAAAGGGUAGACUCAUGGUGCGUUUGGAUUGGCAAAGUUUGUUUCUGGAUUGUGUUGGGGUUGAGAGGUUGGAGAGGAAAGAAGAAUGGAGAUGGACUCCCACAAUUUGGUUUAGGGAACUGAAAGAUGUGGUGAUAUCUACACAGCCAGGAAAAACUGCGGGAGAAACUGGUGAAUAAGCACUAUGACUUUUGUGAGAGCAGGGAAAGAUAUGCGAGCAAUAAAUAUCUGGUCUGAGUAAAUUAAUUCAGGUAAUUAUUUCAACUUCUUCCGUUUACUGUAUUUGGGUUGGAUAGUAGCUCCGACUCAAUACCAGCACAUGUGUUUAUUGGCUGUGUGUUUGAACAUCUUGGCUGUGUGCAGAUUGUUACAUGAGACCAGUCAUUUCUUGAUCUAUUUUGUCUCCUAGCUUUUGAUUCUAAUUUUACUUUUAGUAGCUGCUGAGGAUCCUAUAGAAGGCAGGGGCUAUGCUUUGUUUUACCACCAGUACCUAGUAAAAUAUCUAGCACAUAGCAGAUGUUCAAUAAUAAUUUAUUAAAUGAAUGAAUUGACCAAUGUCUAAAAACAAUACAUGGAGGCAGACUUCAUCUCUAUCAAACAUUUUAUAAUAAUUGGGGCAUUAGGGAUGCUAAUUCAUCAUCCUCCAAAUCUGAGGUGUUCACAAUAGAGAUGGCUUGGUGGGGUGACAUAUGUUCUUGCAAAGGAAUAUUAUUUAAAGGAAUGUAUCAUUUACAAUGAAACAAAAUGAAGUUUCAAACAUUCCUAUGACACUAUUUAUCAUCUCUUUUUUUUUUUUUUUCAACGUUUUUAUUUAUUUUUGGGACAGAGACAGAGCAUGAACGGGGGAGGGGCAGAGAGAGAGGGAGACACAGAAUCGGAAACAGGCUCCAGGCUCCAAGCCAUCAGCCCAGAGCCUGACGCGGGGCUCGAACUCACAGACCGUGAGAUCGUGACCUGGCUGAAGUCGGACGCUUAACCGACUGCGCCACCCAGGCGCCCCCAUCAUCUCUUUUCUUAUGGGAAAACCAUUUGGAAACUCCUCAUUGGAAGUUUCCUCAUUGGAAACUCCUCGUGUUGAAAGCUUAAAUUUCCAAACCAAUUCCAAGUAGCUCAGUUCUUCUGGUGUAAAGCAAAGGAUAAGAUAACUUCCUACCUUUCACCUACCUACUUAAUGGAGACCUUGAUGUGAGGACUGAGAAAUGAGUGUAAAAUAAACAACUCUGCCUUAGCAAGUGUUAGUUGUUAUGUCAUACUACCAAUUUAAGUGGCAUCCAUAUUUAUCCAAUCAAACUUGCCUUCUAACAAGCAUUCCAUUAUUCUGUAAUACUAGGGCUUGAGUCAUUUUGGUUGCAAGUUCUAAGGUUGAUGAAAUACACAAAGCAGCUGUGAGAUCUGGACUCCAGAACAGCUUCUAUCUCCAUUUCGAUAAUCAGUCUCAAGAAAGACCUGGUUAUUAUGGGGCGCCUGGGUGGCGCAGUCAGUUAAGCGUCCGACUUCAGCCAGGUCACAAUCUCUCGGUCCGUGAGUUCGAGCCCCACGUCAGGCUCUGGGCUGAUGGCUCAGAGCCUGGAGCCUGUUUCCGAUUCUGUGUCUCCCUCUCUCUCUGCCCCUCCCCCGUUCAUGCUCUGUCUCUCUCUGUCCCAAAAAUAAAUAAAAAACGCUGAAAAAAAAAUUAAAAAAAAAAAAAAAAAAAAAAAAAAAAAAAGAAAGACUUGGUUAUUAAACUGUCACAUGCUGAGGUUUGUUUUGGUUAUAAAAUAUGUGACAAAAACUCAAUAAACACUUGAAGAUGCAGAAUAAGCACUCCUCUGGGUGUGACAGAAGUUUAAGUUCCUUCCAAGAGUAGUUAAAGGUUUUUAACAUAAAGGACUGAGAUUCUAGUCUUAACAAAAUCUUCCCUGGGAGCAGUUAUGUCAGAAUGGCUAAAAGAUGCUGAAAAUCAAGCAAUUGGUUUACAUCUAGCCCUGGACACUUAUCUAUCACUUCUUUCUUUUUUUAAAAAAAUUUAAAAAAUACUUAUUUACUUUGAGAGAGAGAGAGAGAGAGCACGCAUAAGUGGGGCAGGGGCAGAGAGAGAUAAGGGGGAAACACAGAAUCUGAAACAGGCUUUGAGUUGUCAACACAGAGCCCGAUUCAGGACUUGAACUCGGGAAUGGUGAGAUCAUGACCAGAGCCAAAGUCGGACUCUUAACCAACUGAGCCACCCAGGUGCCCCAAGAUUUAUCUAUCAUUUCUGAAGUUUUUAUGUGUUUCCUGGAAAGAAGCCAAGACUGUCUUCUGAGUUAGAGAAUGGAUAUCAAGACAGACUAACUGGGUAAUUGGGGAAUCAUUUUUUUGCAGCAAAGGGAAAACAAGAACAACAACAACAACAAAAAGCAGGACUUAGCUUGUUUUCCCACACAGGCAAACAAAACAAACUUCAGUGUAGCUAAGUCUUGAUGAUUUUGUCUUCCAACAAACCCCCAAACAUAGAUAAAGUGCUUCCAGUGCCAAUUUGAAGUUGGCAGGCAAGUUGGGCUGCAAAUGAUCUAAUUUAUCUCAAUUCAAAUCAGCUUAGCAAAUUUGGAAGAUGCUACACGAAAAUAGGUAACAUGGGAGUCACAAACACAUGAAUUUUGAGGUCUUUAAGCAAAAGUGACUUCCCAGGACAAACUACUUCCUGUUAUUCUCCCAGUAAACAGUGUACAUAGAAACCAAACAGACAGGACAGGCUACUGGGUUAAAAGCUUGCCUAUUUAAAUGCUUGGCUCACAACUAAGAAUUACAAACCACCUGCCUCCUUUUCAGAAGGAAGGAAACUUUCAAAAGGCAACAAUCUAGCUGAAACCCUAGGAAGAAGUGGGAGUACAAAGAGAGGGCACAGUGGGAGAACACAGUAAUUAUUCAAUAAUUAUUGGCAGUGAAUAAAAUGCAUGAAAUGCAGGUGUAAAUUAUAAUGCAAGAAUGCCAUCAUACUCUAAUGGCAGUGCUGUCUCAGUCCAGGAAAGAGCACCCCUAUGGAUUCCUUUUCCAAACCCUUUACUUUGCUUAGGGGAGCUUUAGAAAGGGCAGCAGACUGUGGGUUUAUAAAAGGCACAGCAAAUUUAGUAAGAGGAUUGGGGCUCAGGUCACCUAAGAGUUUUCUCAUUUCACCUUCCCUUUUCUGAGUUUGGCAAUUUUCAUCUAAAACUUAAACAAUAAGUGGGUGAUUUAGUUCCUUAACCUAAAAACAAUAACAAAAGACCGACCAAAAGAGAAAAUUGUACCAAAAACUGAGGCUUUCAGGCAUGGGCAAACUUAUUGUUUUUAUGUUAAUUAAAGUACUGGAAACAAUUAGUGUUCUACACCGCCUUAUGUUGGCAUAUUGCUUUAUGGUCUACAAAGUGCUUUUGGAUCCGCCUCGUAUGGGGUUCUCAUCCAAUCUUGUUCUAGGUGGGAAUUAUUAAAUGAAACAAGAAGGAUAUAAGGUGUCCGGCACAGGCCUGGAACAUAGUUAAUGCUUUAUAGGUGAAAACACGGGUGCAGAGAGGUUAAGUGGGGAAUCCAAAGUCAAGUGUCCUAUUUGUGCCCUAAGCACCUCAAGUCCAGGUCUUCAGAUUCCCAGUACAAACCACUUUCCCACUACCUCAUCCCAACUUUCUUGGGUUCUCUGGGCAAAGACACAACCUGAAAAUGUCCUCUUAUGCAACAGUUUCUAUUACUUCUCUCUACAGAAGCUAUUAAUUGGUAGUAAUGUCAAAAGAUUUACAUAGCACCUUCUUAUUUCUUUGUCCUUUUCUAGAGGUGAUGAUGGGCCAGAAAACGAGUCAUCAAAAGGGGGAAGGGAAUUUCAUCCUGCCAAUUCAUUAAUGAGUCCUGCUGUACUGAAAAACUGCAGAAGAUUCAAGACUUUUUUCCAUGCAUUCAUUUCUCGGUAUACAACCUCACUCAAGUAACACAUCUCGCUGAUCUGUGCAUGGUAGAAACUUUGUCUUCUACUCUGCAGAACCUUGGUGCUCAUCUAGCAUAAAAUGAGGAUGUGAUUUGGAAAACAUGAGAUUGAUUCUGUCAAUAUAUACAACUGAGAACUUCAGGACUCAGAGGGGAUUUUUAUAACUGGGUAUCUCUGUCUGUCCUUCAAUGUUCCCAGGGAGAUCACCUCCAACUGGAGCCUGGGAGAGACUUCAAUGUAUUUCCUCCCCAAGAACAAUGCCUUCCUCCACAUGUCCCAACUAGACAUUUUCUGAGCUCCGUAUCCCAACCGGCUCC